UGGGGAGCGAACAUCCAGGCUUCUCAGUUAGGUCUGGAACCAGCUCCUGAUGUUAUAUCGAGAACCUGCUGGCUGCUGCUUUUACGAGCCGUGUGGGAAAGGCACAUAGGGUCACACUUCAGCGCACCGAGACUCUCCACGACUUCAGAGGCAAUUAUACGUUCCCGGAAUUCUGCGGCAGGCCUCCAGGCUCUCUUUCCUCUGACUAGACUGCUCCCCCAUCGCAUCUGCCAACUGAAGGUCAACCUUGGCUUAAACCUUCCAGGAGCAUGAUGUCGUGGGAGAAGGCAGGCAUCAUCAGGGCUAGAAUAUCUGGUUUCAAAUCCCAGGAGUGUCACUUAAGAGCAGUGCCUCAAGCAAAUCACAACCUCUCUGAGCCUCAGUGUCUAAUUAUAUAAAAUGGGAAUGUUACCUGCUUUGCAGAGUUCGGAGAAUUUGAGAUAAUCUCUGCAAAGCACUGGGCACAGAACCAGCCCCAGUAUUUGCUCAUUAAACAGUUGCUGAAUUGAUUCUCCAUCCUCACCUUUUUAUAGGAGGCUGCUUUUUAUGUCCUCCUGAUUCCCCAACCAAAGCUCCAUGAGGCUGGAGACCUCGUCUCCUUUGUCUUCGCAUCUGUGCACUUUCCCGUGUCUAACACAGUUUUGGAACACAUUGAUUGACAAGUGGUGGAAAGAACUAGGCACACCUGACCUGAUGUUAGAAGGGAAGACAUGGGCAGAGCUGCCUCCCAGUUGUUGGAAGGGCCAGUUUACCUGGUGUCACUCCAGAGAGGGCAGAACCACCAUCAAGAGCUAUAAGGAGACUGAUGUUAGCCCAGGAUGGGAAGGACUGUCCAACACUUAGAGCUGUGUAACAUGAGAGCAAGUGCCAAAUGGAAGCUACUUGCCAUUAAGAAACUCAGAUUGUAGAAGGUAUCCCUGGGUUGGAUGAGGAUAAGACCGGAUCGGUGAUUCUUAACUUUGGAGAGUCACAGGUGCCUUUGAAAGUCUGAUAAAACUUAAAUGGAUCUUUUCUAGAAAAAUGGCCCAAAGCAUAACAGUUUGCAAAUCAUUUCAGGAGCUUCAUGGAUCCUAGGUAAGGCUCACCUGAAAAAGCACCCUGCUAGGAUGCUAUGUUCAACGUUCUUUUUCAUAAUUAAUAAUGAGAGGCUCACUGCUGUUAUUCAUAUCUUCAAAAUUCACACCUCCCAUGUAGAGGGCCAGCUUCAUAUCUAAACCUCAGUGCCCUUUGCCAUGAAUUCAAUGCUCAAUGGAUUUUUGGAUUAAGUGAAUGAAUAAAUAAAUGAAUGAAACGAUUGACUAGUCAUCUUUAAGGAAACCUGUGUGCUACAAGAAGAGAAGAAAAAAAGAAAACAAUGAAAGGUUGUAGAAAAAGACCAGCACAGGAUAACAAAAAGUUAGAGAUGAUUAAUCGGGUCAAAGGAGAGGAUCAAUUUGGGAAGGCCCAAACUCGUGGCCUCUGCCCAGGGCUGGGUCCCACUGUGAGCUUCUAAACCCAAGAUUCCAUGGGAGUAGACGGCGUCCUGCUGGCCCUGGCUGCCUGCC
This is a non-coding RNA of Vicugna pacos (alpaca), 1544 nucleotides long. Lineage: Eukaryota; Metazoa; Chordata; Mammalia; Artiodactyla; Camelidae. The record is from RefSeq and is a predicted model, not a curated record.